CAAACCAUGGCAUAUAGACACAAAUUAUCCAAAAAAUAUAUCAAGAUAAGUAUAAGUCAAUAAAAGCGACCGUGCUAGAACCACGGGAUUCGAGGGAUGCCUAAUACCUUCCCCUCGGUCAACAGAAUUCCUUACCCGAAUUUCUGAUUCGCAGACCAAAUAAAGAGUCAUUUCCUUAUGAUUAGGGAUUAAACAAAAAGGUGACUUGGAACACCAUAACUCAAUUCCAAGUGGCGACUCUGA
Molecule: long non-coding RNA, 243 nt
Filed under: Solanum tuberosum (potato)
Lineage: Eukaryota; Viridiplantae; Streptophyta; Magnoliopsida; Solanales; Solanaceae
Description: long non-coding RNA (STUB_LNC009265)
Source: RNAcentral